This is a non-coding RNA of Callorhinus ursinus (northern fur seal), 190 nucleotides long. Lineage: Eukaryota; Metazoa; Chordata; Mammalia; Carnivora; Otariidae. The record is from RefSeq and is a predicted model, not a curated record.
AGGACCUGGUUUGCAAAUUGUUCUGGAGGCUGUCCCUACACAUCCUUACCCCACCUUUUUGGGAUUUGGGUGAGAGUUUUCUAGCUAAGUAUCAAUCCUGUUCCCUCCUGGGGCUCCCUGUGCCUUCCGACCACCUCUACCUUUAGGCAGUGCUUUGCAGUGGCCCCCAGGGGCCCCACAGGCUCAGCUG